RNAcentral lists this long non-coding RNA (560 nucleotides) under Brassica rapa (field mustard). Its description in RNAcentral is "long non-coding RNA (BRAP_LNC005951)". The record is from RNAcentral. Lineage: Eukaryota; Viridiplantae; Streptophyta; Magnoliopsida; Brassicales; Brassicaceae.
UUUAGUCACUCAUGUCUCGUUUCUUAUAGAUCUAUAUUAGUAUUUCAAGACAAAUGUUUUUUUUGUAUUUAAUUUUAAUCUUUAAAAAGCAAUUGCACUAAUAGAUGAAGGACAUCCGUAGAGCUGAUUUCUUCCCUUUUGAUCAGAAUUUCUUUAAGAAGAAGCGGUCUUCAACAUUUCUUCCUUCUCUUUCAACUUUUAGUAUAUUUUACUCUUUUUUUUUCAGAGACUGCCUCAGAGGACUGUCACCAAGAUUACCAAAAAAAAAAAAAAAAACUCAAGACUGAUCAAAUGGCACCUGUUUGAUUUCUAACCUUUUCUAGUUUUCUCUUAAACUGCUUCAAAGGACUGUCACCAAGAUUAUCAAUAUUUCUUCCUUCUCUUUCAUCAAGAUUACCAAAAAAAAACUCAGACUGAUCAAAUAACAACAAUUUUGUUGUCAGUAGAAAUCAAACUCAAAACACACGAGUUGAAUUGUUGUUCGCAGGUCCGUCCCUUGCAUAAGGCUGAUAAAGCAUAUGCUUUAGGCCACAAUUAAAUAAAUAGUUUUAGAUGCCACA